This 155-nucleotide unclassified non-coding RNA is filed under the name uncultured Cryptococcus. RNAcentral describes it as "sequence contains ITS2". The record is from RNAcentral. Lineage: Eukaryota; Fungi; Basidiomycota; Tremellomycetes.
AAAUCUCAUCCCAUCGGGUUUCCGAUGACGAUGGACUUGGGUGUUGCCGUCUGGCUCGCCUUAAUGGUGUUAGCGGUUCAAGGUUGAAUCUGGCGUAAUAAGUUUCGCUGGUGAAGGCUGGAGACCGCUUCUAAUCCGUCUUCUGACAUCUUUUG